AUUGAACGCUGGCGGCAGGCCUAACACAUGCAAGUCGAGCGGAUGAAGGGAGCUUGCUCCUGGAUUCAGCGGCGGACGGGUGAGUAAUGCCUAGGAAUCUGCCUGGUAGUGGGGGAUAACGUCCGGAAACGGGCGCUAAUACCGCAUACGUCCUGAGGGAGAAAGUGGGGGAUCUUCGGACCUCACGCUAUCAGAUGAGCCUAGGUCGGAUUAGCUAGUUGGUGGGGUAAAGGCCUACCAAGGCGACGAUCCGUAACUGGCCUGAGAGGAUGAUCAGUCACACUGGAACUGAGACACGAUCCAGACUCCUACGGGAGGCAGCAGUGGGGAAUAUUGGACAAUGGGCGAAAGCCUGAUCCAGCCAUGCCGCGUGUGUGAAGAAGGUCUUCGGAUUGUAAAGCACUUUAAGUUGGGAGGAAGGGCAGUAAGUUAAUACCUUGCUGUUUUGACGUUACCAACAGAAUAAGCACCGGCUAACUUCGUG
This 484-nucleotide ribosomal RNA is filed under the name uncultured bacterium. Its description in RNAcentral is "partial 16S ribosomal RNA". It matches the Rfam family "Bacterial small subunit ribosomal RNA", at positions 30 to 507 of the family's 1533-position model. The record is from RNAcentral.